RNAcentral lists this non-coding RNA (30 nucleotides) under Rattus norvegicus (Norway rat). Lineage: Eukaryota; Metazoa; Chordata; Mammalia; Rodentia; Muridae. The record is from RNAcentral.
CAGAAAAGCGGUAGUAACAUUUGUAGUGCA